This 301-nucleotide ribosomal RNA is filed under the name uncultured bacterium. Its description in RNAcentral is "partial 16S ribosomal RNA". It matches the Rfam family "Bacterial small subunit ribosomal RNA", at positions 509 to 807 of the family's 1533-position model. The record is from RNAcentral.
CAGUCGCCACGGGAAUGCGUAGGUGGCAAGCGUUGUCCGGAAUUAUUGGGCGUAAAGGACUCGCAGGCGGUUUCUUAAGUCUGAUGUGAAAGCCCCCGGCUCAACCGGGGAGGGUCAUUGGAAACUGGGAAGCUUGAGUGCAGAAGAGGAGAGUGGAAUUCCACGUGUAGCGGUGAAAUGCGUAGAGAUGUGGAGGAACACCAGUGGCGAAGGCGACUCUCUGGUCUGUAACUGACGCUGAGGAGCGAAAGCGUGGGGAGCGAACAGGAUUAGAUACCCCGGUAGUCCCUGUCUCUUAUAC